RNAcentral lists this ribosomal RNA (898 nucleotides) under uncultured bacterium. RNAcentral describes it as "bacterial SSU rRNA". It matches the Rfam family "Bacterial small subunit ribosomal RNA", at positions 598 to 1505 of the family's 1533-position model. The record is from RNAcentral.
AAUUGAGAGGCUCAACCUCUUCGAGCCGUUGAAACUGGUUUUCUUGAGUGAGCGAGAAGUAUGCGGAAUGCGUGGUGUAGCGGUGAAAUGCAUAGAUAUCACGCAGAACUCCGAUUGCGAAGGCAGCAUACCGGCGCCCAACUGACGCUCAUGCACGAAAGUGUGGGUAUCGAACAGGAUUAGAUACCCUGGUAGUCCACACAGUAAACGAUGAAUACUAAUUGUUCGGGGAGAAUGAUCCCUGAGUGAUACAGCGAAAGCGUUAAGUAUUCCACCUGGGGAGUACGCCGGCAACGGUGAAACUCAAAGGAAUUGACGGGGGCCCGCACAAGCGGAGGAACAUGUGGUUUAAUUCGAUGAUACACGAGGAACCUUACCCGGGCUCAAACGACACAGGAAUACUUUUGAAAGGAGGUAGCUCUACGGAGUCUGUGUCGAGGUGCUGCAUGGUUGUCGUCAGCUCGUGCCGUGAGGUGUCGGCUUAAGUGCCAUAACGAGCGCAACCCCCAUCGCCAGUUACCAGCAAGUCAAGUUGGGGACUCUGGCGAGACUGCCGGCGCAAGCUGUGAGGAAGGCGGGGAUGACGUCAAAUCGGCACGGCCCUUACGUCCGGGGCGACACACGUGUUACAAUGGGGGGUACAGCGGGAAGCCAGGCGGCGACGCCGAGCGGAACCCGAAAGCCUCUCUCAGUUCGGAUCGGAGUCUGCAACCCGACUCCGUGAAGCUGGAUUCGCUAGUAAUCGCGCAUCAGCCAUGGCGCGGUGAACACGUUCCCGGGCCUUGUACACACCGCCCGUCAAGCCAUGGAAGCCGGGAGUGCCUGAAGUGUGCAACCGCAAGGAGCGCCCUAAGGUAAAACUGGUGACUGGGGCUAAGUCGUAACAAGGUAACCGUAA